UACAGAGGGUGCAAGCGUUAAUCGGAAUUACUGGGCGUAAAGGGUGUGUAGGUGGUAAUGUAAGUUAGGUGUGAAAUCCUCGGGCUUAACCUGAGAAUUGCGCUUAAUACUGCAUUUCUAGAGUACUGCAGAGGGCAGUGGAAUUUCCAGUGUAGCGGUGAAAUGCGUAGAUAUUGGAAGGAACACCAGUGGCGAAGGCGACUGCCUGGAUAGAUACUGACACUGAGACACGAAAGCGUGGGUAGCAAACAGG
Molecule: ribosomal RNA, 253 nt
Filed under: uncultured bacterium
Lineage: Bacteria
Description: partial 16S ribosomal RNA
Rfam family: Bacterial small subunit ribosomal RNA
Source: RNAcentral